CCCUGGGGGGCGCAUACCUCCCCCUGCUCCGUCCCCUAACCGGCUCCUGUCCUUUCUUACACCCAACGGCCAUGCAACGGGGAGGAAAAACCAACACCAAAUCAAACCCUAUCCAACCCCUAAUCAACUAUCAGAGAACUGUCCAGCAACCAUCCCAUCCGAGCGGCUAUUUAAACCAAACCAUCUCCAAACAUUCAGGUGUUGUUUCCUACAGGUCUAAUGAUCAGAGUCAAAUUCACAGUGCUAAUUAGACUGCGGGAAAUACAGCCCUCCUUUUCCUUGAUCCCUCCAUCAUCCUAUCUGUCUGUUAAUUCCCCCUCUGUAGACUCCAGUGACGUAUAGAGAAAUACUCCAAUUAGGUCUUUCUCAUUAGAGCUGAAACAAUGUUUUCAUUUUCAACAGCCAGGAAAAACACAUGGACUACACUGCAGGAAUGUACAUGUAUUUAGUACUGAAGUCGGGUAAAGGGAGGACGACUCAUUGUAAUGUCUGGAAUGGAAUCAAUGGAAUGGUACCAAAACAUAUUGAAACCAUGUGUUUGAUGUGUUUAAUACAGUUCCAUUCACUUAGGCUCCACUCCCACACCAGCUACCACUGGUCCGUAACAGAUCAGCUAAUUCCCAAUGCUCUGCAUCACGCAACACAGCACACAUAGCCUUCUGCUAGCAUACUUUACAACACAACAGCACAACUGGUGCUUAACUCUCACAGCACACCUUAGAAAACGAGCGGGACUUACGUCUUACGCCACCGGUAAUGCUUCACAGCCAUUGUUCAAAAGCAUUUACUGCCAUGUACACUAGCACACUUCAGAGGUCGAUACAAGCGGGUGAGAGAGAGAUGGGAGAAUUAGGAGCACACCUAAUAUCACACAGGACAUCACAUAAAACAGGUCAAUUACGCCAGAUAUGACAGACUGACACUAGCCCCCGGAUCUGCUGUCAUCAAGGCAAAGGGUGGCUACUUUGAAGAAUCUCAUAUAUAAAAUAUAUGUUGAUUUGUUUAACACUUUUUUGGUUACUACAUGUUUCCAUAUGUGUUAUUUCAUAUUCGUGAUGUCUUCACUAUUAUUCUACAAUGUAGAAAAUAGUCCAAAUAAAGAAAAAACCCUGGAAUAAGUAGGUGUGUCCAAACUUUUGACUGGUAAUGUAUAAAUAUAUACCCUAUAUAUAUCAAAGUAUUUCGACACCACUUCAUAUGAGUGGAUUUGGCUAUUUCAGCCACGCCCGUUGCCUACGGGUGUAGAAAAUCGAGCACACAGCCAUGCAAUCGCCAUAGAAAAACAUUGGCAGUAGAAUGGCCUUACUGAAGAGCUCUGUGACUUUCGACGUGGCACCGUCAAAUUCCUGCCCUGCUAGAGCUGCCCCGAUCAACUGUAAAUGCUGUUAUUGUGAAGUGGAAACUCUAGGAGCGACCACAGCUCAGCCACAAGUGAUAGGCUACACAAGCUCACAGAACUGGAUCAAUGAGUGCUGAAGCGCGUUACGCGUAAACAUCGCCUCUCCUUGGCUGCAACACUCAAUACCGAGUUCCAAACUGUCUCUGAAGCAACGUCAGCGCCAUAAUCUUCGUUAGCACCAUAACCUUCGUUAGCACCAUAACCUUCGUUAGCCGCGCACAAGCCUAAAAUCACCAGGCGCAAUGCCAAGCGUCGGCUGGAGUGUUGUUGGAGCAGUUGGACUCUGGAGCAGUGGAAACACGUUCUCUGGAGUGAUGAAUCACGCCACACCAUCUGGCAGUCUGAUGGACAAAUCUGGAUUUGGCAGAUGUCAGGAGAAUGCUACCUGCCCAAAUGCAUAGUGCCAACUGUAGUGUUUGGUGAAGAAGGAAUAAUGGUCUGGGGCUAUUUUUCAUUCCAGUGAAGGGAAAUAUUAAUGCUACUGCAUACAAUGACAUUCUAGACGAUUCUGUGCUUCCUACUUCGUGGCAACAGUUUGGGGAAGGCCCUUUCCUGUUUCAGCAUGACAAUGCCCCCUUGCACAAAGCGAGGUCCAUUUAGCGGGCGCUCUUGUUCUUUGCAACUUACAGUCAGUGCAUUAAACCAAGGUAAUAAUGUAUAAAUAACAUGUCACAGCCAGUUAAGUUAAACGUUUCUGUAACCAUUACUGAACACGUUGUUGUAGUUAAGGAUACAUUGAUCUUCAAAAUAACGGCAAUUACAACAAGAUAUCUUAUGUUAUAUCUCUGACUAUAUCUGGAUAGUGCCAAUACAAUACUGAGAUAUGCACGGUAACUUGAUGCCAGAGCAAUGAAACACACUACGCUACAGUAAAGGGGUUAUUAAACUGUAAGACAAUUAUAUCUACAGUAUUUUACUGUAAAUAAAAUGGAUCAGAUCAAGCAGGUUUGCUAUAUACAAUUACAUAUUACAGCAUAUUAAUGAAUACUUAGUGUUUUAUAACACUUGCACUUCUAGAGCCUAAACAAAGGCUUCCAAACUGACCGUGAAUGCACGACAAAACAGAUAAAAAUGGACAUGGGUAAAUAUUCAACUAUUAAAGGUCCUGAAAAGUCAUUCUGAUUGACAUGUAAAAUAGCCUUUUGUGUGACUAAAAUAACACCCAUAACAUUUGUUUUGGAUAGAAAAGCGCAAAAUUUGAGAAAAAGUACUUUUUGGCCAACUACCAGGAAGUUGAAAAAGACAGGCGGAGUGGGCAGGGAACUUAUAUUCAUGAGCUCACCUUGACUGACAGCUCUUUGAAAGGCCUAUGUCAAGCAACUUGGAGGCAGUGAACAGUGUUGCAAUGAUAUCAUCGCAAGUCAAUUUGGUGAUACACAAAGCAACAUUGAAAUUGCGUCAAUCAUAUCAUUUUUGUGAGACAGUACUUCUUAUUUUCCUGUGAUAUUAUGGCGGUCCGCAAACAAAUGUUAUAGAUGCAUGCCGCCACCUACUGUAUUGGCUGUGUACCAGCCUAAUAUUCUGUAGUAUGAAUUCUUUACACUGUGAAAAAUGUUUGCCCUACCAACUAACCCUACCCCCAUUAAAAACCUCACCACCUUUCCACUACUUUGGCCCUAUCUGAUUCUACACCAGGCCAGCAGCCUGGGAAGACGGGACACUAUCGUUCAAAACACCUUGUAACUCUUCUGCAGUAAAAUCUCAUACACCCAAGUACUUCUCUGCAGCUACCGCCACAACAUCUAUCCUUUGUGAUUUCUGUUCCAUUCCUGUGGUUCAGUUAACAACCAUGGCCAUGAACGCCCAAAAAAGGAACUUUAAUGAAGCACAUGUUAUUCUUAUCACUCUCUCUUGGCCUCGACCUACUCACCCUGUACCAGUAAGUGAGCGGAGCUGGGACGGAGCGUGCCCAAUUUGACUGGAGCGAGGAGCGAGAUGGCCAAAAGAUGGAGCGUCACGGCUCGUCUACACUAGCACGCGGUAAAUUGCCGUGUGCCGCUUCGGCCGCCCAGAGCGGCUCGCUUGUGGGCGUGCUGGCAGCAUAUCGCAGCACAUUCGAUUGUGCGUCAAGAAUUCAGCAUAGCAAGUUUGUAUGAAAGUCUGGUUAUUAAAUGGGUAAAUAGCUUAUUCCAAUCUCCAUUUCAUGAAUUUAUUCACAGGUAAAUAGUAACAUGCUCUAAACCACUCAGGUAACAAACAAACUUUGCUGUCCUUUUUCCAAAAUGUCCACAUGGCUGGGAGAACCUACUCAAAUUCCUUCAAAACGAUUGCCUACAGUUACCGUGUAGGGCACUGCAAGGUUGUGUGACCAGGGCCAUCCGUUGAAAUACAGAUAGAGAUGUAGUAGUCCCAGAGUUAAUGAUCCAAGAUAUUUUUGGAUGUGAGAGAGGAAGCCAGUCCCGUCAUCGCCACUUCACCCGCUCUUAAGAUAACCUUCGGGCCAACUGGGGGCCCAAGGCUGUUAGGAGACACCGCUAGAGACACUAUUAUGAAAUGGUGAUGAACUGAGAGAAUAUUAGGGUAGCACUGUAAUUCAUUAUUUAUAUGCUGUCUUCCCUGCUCCUCUGUUCUUACCUCUUUCCCUUUCUGUCUUUUAAACUCUCUCACGCCUCUCUACCCACCUCCUCUUUCUUCCUCUGUUUUUAUAAUGCACACCAUAUUUGCAUUGAAGUACAGAUUGAACUCGAAUUUAUAAUAUUACAAUUAUAAUAUUUAUAAUGCAUGUAUUAUGUAUUUAUAACACUUGGAUGAUGAACUUCUUUUAAUAAAGCAUUUCACGUUAUCCACUUGUUGAAAUUAAGUCUCUCAUUUGAUGAAAUACUACACCUAUCCUAUGUCCUCAGAUUAAUGCAGAUGAAGGGAGUUACAUAUUGACAUGAACUGGCUUUAGAGUAUUUACAUGAUGCGUACUGUAGGAAGUGUAGUGAACUGUUUUUUAAAAUUCUGUUUCUGUAUAUAUGAAUUACAAAUCAGCCUUUAACUACUUAAAUCAUGUUUCUAGUCUAUUGCAUGGUUAUAAUGAGUGACCAUUGAUGUCCCAGGACCAGGAUUGGUAACACUGUUAAAGUGUAUAAUGGCAAUACAUUCAUGCAGACACAGCAUCAUUCAAAGAAUGGAGUUUGAUACUCCUGGUAUUGAAUAUGACUGAAAAGUAAUGUUUCACCGACAUUCAUACCUGAACCGCACCUUUAUUUGCCAUGGUAGAGUACACGAUCAGUGAAUAUAUUUAAUGUACAGGCAGGGUUGGGGAGUAAUAUAUUACAUGUCAUCCGUUACAUGUAAGGGAUUACAAAAACGGUAACUGUAAUCCGUUACGUUACCAGCAAAAAUAUUGUAAUCAGAUGACAGAUACUUUUGAAAAACAAUAUGAUUACUUUGAGGAUGUUUUUUUAAAAACAGAAAGGAUGUUUGCAAAAAAAAAUAUCCGACACUUCUCUGUUUUCUCAAUGACAUUCAAAUCAGCAUUGAAAAAAGGCACAAGUUUGUUCCACCUGAGCGAGUCUGACCACAAGUCAGAGACCACUAUGAUGACCCACCAAAUGGGUUUGAUGGAUCCUGGGUAAAGAGCAGGAAUAGGCUUUUGUAGGCUACAGUCCAAGCGGUGUCUUCCAAUGGUGCGACUGCUGUCGGCAUCCAAAGAUUAUUCAACUUGAAUAAACGCUUGGAUGUAAGGAUGACAACAGCGGUGUAGUCUACGGCGAUACGGAUAUCACUUAUUAUUGAUAUCUACAUAGCGCAUUGAUGUGAAUCACACUGCUGCUCUCUCAUUUAGCUAUUUGCGCUUUACGGAUUGUGGUUGUUGAGGUUUGGCUGUUCAUAAAUCUAAAUGUGUAUUUGAACCCAAUAACGGUUGAAUUCAAGAAGUUUAAGCUGCCUAUCAAUCAUUGUUUUUGAAACCAGUGGACAGCCAGUGAAAAAUGUGCUCUUGCAGCAGCUGCAUAGUGCGGAUCCCAGCCUAUGGAAUAAAAGUGGGCCUUUUAUUGCUCAAUCUAAUUCAUGCUGAUACAAAAGGGACAAUCUGUAGUUGCUACAUCCAUCUUUGGACUAAUGAUUUAUAUAUACAGUACCAGUCAAAGGUUUGGACACACCUUCUCAUUCACGGGUUUUUCUUUAUUUUGAUUAUUUUCUACAUUGUAGAAUAAU
Salvelinus fontinalis (brook trout) is the source of this 5542-nucleotide long non-coding RNA. RefSeq lists it as uncharacterized. The record is from RefSeq and is a predicted model, not a curated record. The transcript has 3 exons. Lineage: Eukaryota; Metazoa; Chordata; Actinopteri; Salmoniformes; Salmonidae.